Molecule: ribosomal RNA, 869 nt
Filed under: uncultured archaeon
Lineage: Archaea
Description: bacterial SSU rRNA
Rfam family: Archaeal small subunit ribosomal RNA
Source: RNAcentral
UCUGGUUGAUCCUGCCGGAGGCCACUGCUAUCGGGCUCCGACUAAGCCAUGCGAGUCUAGGGGCUCUUCGGAGCACCGGCGGACGGCUCAGUAAACACGUGGACAACCUACCCUCGGGUGGGGGAUAACCUCGGGAAACUGAGGCUAAUACCCUAUAGGUCUCGGAUACUGGAAGGUUCCGAGACUGAAAGCUCCGGCGCCCGAGGAUGGGUCUGCGGCCUAUCAGGUAGUUGGUGGUGUAAAGGACCACCAAGCCUGCGACGGGUACGGGCCCUGGAGAGGGGGAGCCCGGAGAUGGACUCUGAGACACGAGUCCAGGCCCUACGGGGCGCAGCAGGCGCGAAACCUUCGCAAUGCGCGAAAGCGCGACGAGGGGAGCCCGAGUGCCCUUCCUUUUGGGAGGGCUUUUCCGGAGUCUAAAAAGCUCCGGGAAUAAGGGCUGGGCAAGACGGGUGCCAGCCGCCGCGGUAAUACCCGCAGCUCGAGUGGUGGCCACUAUUAUUGAGCCUAAAGCGUCCGUAGCCGGACCCGUAAAUCCCUGGGUAAAUCCUGGCGCUCCAACGUCAGGAAUUCCGGGGAGACUGCGGGUCUUGGGACCGGGAGAGGCCGGAGGUACUCCCGGGGUAGGGGUAAAAUCCUGUAAUCCCGGGGGGACCACCUGUGGCGAAAGCGUCCGGCUUGAACGGUUCCGACGGUGAGGGACGAAGGCCAGGGGAGCGAACCGGAUUAGAUACCCGGGUAGUCCUGGCUGUAAACGCUGCGGGCUAGGUGUUGGGGUACCUUCGGGGAUCCCCAGUGCCGAAGGGAAGCCGGAAGCCCGCCGCUUGGGGAGUACGGCCGCAAGGCUGAAACUUAAAGGAAUUGGCGGG